AGUCGCCUGCCGAGGAUAGGACCCCCGUGCUGACUCAGGACCCGCCGGGCAGCAGAGGACAAUUUGGAGCUGAAGAAGCUGGUCCAGAGAAUGGGGAAAAAAGUGCUGGACAGGGACCUUCUCCCUGUUGAAGACAGCUAUGAGGUCCAGCCUAGCCUCUGGUGAUGACCGUAUUUCCACUGCUGCACACAGGAAGGCCUGGCCCAGGAAUGGCUGAGGUGCUGAUGUCAACAGAGUGGGUUUUGGAACUAUUGACUCAUUGAGAAGCAGCAUGACUUGGUGGCAAGAGCACGGGCUUGGGAGU
Tachyglossus aculeatus (Australian echidna) is the source of this 304-nucleotide long non-coding RNA. RefSeq lists it as uncharacterized. The transcript has 3 exons. The record is from RefSeq and is a predicted model, not a curated record. Lineage: Eukaryota; Metazoa; Chordata; Mammalia; Monotremata; Tachyglossidae.